UUCAUUCCUACGUGAGCAGAUCCAGUUCACUUCUUGCACGUAAACAGGGAAAAUUACAACAUCAAGGACUUAUUACUCCUUCUUUUGGAAUAACGUUAUUGCUGGGGAGAAGCUUGCCUACUUUGCAUCACUGAGAAGAAAUAUUUUCUGCAGGUAAACUCAGAGCUUUCAGGAAACACUAUCUGCUAUUCUGUCUUUUCUUAUUAUUUGGUUUGGUCUGCUCUUCUGACGCCAAAGUACUUACAGAACUUGCCAAAAUGAAACAAUCCUCAGAUACUGUUGGCUUUAUAUCUGCAUAAACUAAAAUACCAACUACACAUCAAUAACUUCUUCCACUGAAUUCAGCUGGAUGCUGCAUUCUUCCCUUGUCAGAAGCGGCUGCUAAAAUAAAAAGAUGUCAGCGGAAGAGAAAGCAUCUCUAAAGACAGCAUUGCACUUUGGUAUUACUGGAUAUGUACUAUCAUUAAAACUAUGCAUCAGGAAUAAAAGCACUCCCCAAAGUUACCAUGCCUGCUGUUUAUGCAAUAUGCAGAUGAGCAAUAUGUGACUGGUCUAUGAUAAAAGAACUUUAACACUAAUUGAGAGCUCACUAUCAAAUAAGAACCAUUAGGAAAGCCAUAGACUCCAACUUGUUUGUAAAUUAGUUAUUCGCAAGCCUAUCAAUCUGGAACAAUCUUGUAACACAGAGAUCAUGAUAAUUU
Long non-coding RNA from Nothoprocta perdicaria, 701 nucleotides. RefSeq lists it as uncharacterized. The transcript is spliced from 2 exons. The record is from RefSeq and is a predicted model, not a curated record. Lineage: Eukaryota; Metazoa; Chordata; Aves; Tinamiformes; Tinamidae.